GUUUGAUCCUGGCUCAGGACGAACGCUGGCGGCGUGCUUAACACAUGCAAGUCGUGCGAGAAAACCCCUUCGGGGGUGAGUACAGCGGCGGACGGGUGAGUAACACGUGAGCGAUCUACCCGGUGGCGGGGGACAACCCAGGGAAACCUGGACUAAUACCGCAUACAGCGGAGGGAGUAGGUGCCCUUCGUGAAAGCUGGCCUCUCCAUGGAAGCUAGCGUCGCCGGAGGAGCUCGCGGCCUAUCAGCUUGUUGGUGGGGUAACGGCCUACCAAGGCGAUGACGGGUAGCUGACGUGAGAGCGUGACCAGCCACACUGGGACUGAGACACGGCCCAGACUCCUACGGGAGGCAGCAGUGGGGAAUAUUGCGCAAUGGGCGAAAGCCUGACGCAGCGACGCCGCGUGGGGGAGGAAGGCCCUAGGGUUGUAAACCCCUGUCAGGUGGGACGAACCCUGGGUCGACGAAUAGUUGGCUCAGCUGACGGUACCAUCAGAGGAAGCUCCGGCUAACUCCGUGCCAGCAGCCGCGGUAACACGGGGGGAGCAAGCGUUGUUCGGAAUCACUGGGCGUAAAGCGCGCGUAGGCGGCCGAGUAAGUCGUAUGUGAAAGCCCGGGGCUCAACUCCGGUAUUGCAUGCGAUACUGCCC
This 649-nucleotide ribosomal RNA is filed under the name uncultured bacterium. RNAcentral's name for it is "bacterial SSU rRNA". It matches the Rfam family "Bacterial small subunit ribosomal RNA", at positions 11 to 638 of the family's 1533-position model. The record is from RNAcentral.